GGGGAGGGCAAGGGGGGUCCCAAUAACAGCAAAACAGCAAAUUGAUUUGGCUCAUAACAGAUAACAAGGAAUUAAAAUGGACAAAAACAGAUAACAGUAAAUGAAAUAUUAAAAUAAUUCGAUCUUUGACAAAUCAGUAAUUCUUAUUACGGAUAUAAUCCUUUGUAAUGCAUUCCAUUUUCUAUGACUUUGUUUUUAGUAUUAAUUUAU
RNAcentral lists this long non-coding RNA (210 nucleotides) under Mytilus galloprovincialis (Mediterranean mussel). The record is from RNAcentral. Lineage: Eukaryota; Metazoa; Mollusca; Bivalvia; Mytilida; Mytilidae.